GACGAACGCUGGCGGCGUGCUUAACACAUGCAAGUCGAGCGGUAAGGCCCUUUCGGGGGUACACGAGCGGCGAACGGGUGAGUAACACGUGGGUGACCUGCCCUCAGCUCUGGGAUAAGCCUGGGAAACCGGGUCUAAUACUGGAUAUGACUCCAUGACGCAUGUUGUGGGGUGGAAAGCCUUGUGCGGCUGAGGAUGGG
Molecule: ribosomal RNA, 200 nt
Filed under: uncultured bacterium
Lineage: Bacteria
Description: partial 16S ribosomal RNA
Rfam family: Bacterial small subunit ribosomal RNA
Source: RNAcentral